Bos taurus (domestic cattle) is the source of this 73-nucleotide non-coding RNA. The record is from Rfam. NCBI's taxonomy places the organism in Eukaryota, Metazoa, Chordata, Mammalia, Artiodactyla, Bovidae.
UCCCUGGGGGUCCAGUGGCUAAGACUCCUCGCUCCCAAUGCAGGAGGCCCAGGUUUGAUCCCUGGCCAGGGAA